AUGGGACUUUAUCUCUAUAGCUAUGCCAAUACCUAGGUAGUUGUAGUAAACGAAUCCCAGAGAUUCAAAAUCACGCUUUUUGCAGAGUGAACUUGUCUGCUUAAACGCUUUUGCGCCUAAUGCAACCAGUGACGAGUUUUGCUUUGAAAGCUUGAGAAAUUC
This 162-nucleotide small nucleolar RNA is filed under the name Lachancea thermotolerans CBS 6340. The record is from RNAcentral. Lineage: Eukaryota; Fungi; Ascomycota; Saccharomycetes; Saccharomycetales; Saccharomycetaceae.